AACGAACGCUGGCGGCAUGCCUAACACAUGCAAGUCGAACGAGACCUUCGGGUCUAGUGGCGCACGGGUGCGUAACGCGUGGGAACCUGCCCUUAGGUUCGGAAUAACUCCCCGAAAGGGGUGCUAAUACCGGAUAAUGUCUUCGGACCAAAGAUUUAUCGCCUUUGGAUGGGCCCGCGUUGGAUUAGCUAGUUGGUAGGGUAAAAGCCUACCAAGGCGACGAUCCAUAGCUUGUCUGAGAGGAUGAUCAGCCACACUGGGACUGAGACACGGCCCAGACUCCUACGGGAGGCAGCAGUGGGGAAUAUUGGACAAUGGGCGAAAGCCUGAUCCAGCAAUGCCGCGUGAGUGAUGAAGGCCUUAGGGUUGUAAAGCUCUUUUACCCGGGAUGAUAAUGACAGUACCGGGAGAAUAAGCGCCGGCUAACUCCGUG
This 433-nucleotide ribosomal RNA is filed under the name uncultured bacterium. RNAcentral describes it as "partial 16S ribosomal RNA". It matches the Rfam family "Bacterial small subunit ribosomal RNA", at positions 29 to 507 of the family's 1533-position model. The record is from RNAcentral.